GUGCUCGGGCGAGAGCAGUACCAGGAUGGGUGACCCCCUGGGAAGUCCUCGWGUUGCAUUCACUCACCACCUUCCUUUCGCUGCUUUUUUUUUUUUUUUUUUUCCUUUUUCGGGGAAGGUAACGAAAGGAAACACGCGUACGAGUGAACGUUGCUUAUAAAAACAGCACGCGCGACGUAAAACUUACAACGUGCGGUACCGACCCGUGAAAAUAAAGGCACGAAAUCGGAUAAUCGUAACGGUUGGGAAUAUAGGAAUAAAAAGGGAUAAGGAAAA
This 276-nucleotide ribosomal RNA is filed under the name Polyscias sp. 'schatzii'. The record is from RNAcentral. Lineage: Eukaryota; Viridiplantae; Streptophyta; Magnoliopsida; Apiales; Araliaceae.